This 63-nucleotide transfer RNA is filed under the name Neofundulus ornatipinnis. RNAcentral's name for it is "tRNA-Tyr". It matches the Rfam family "tRNA". Rfam says of the family: Transfer RNA (tRNA) molecules are approximately 80 nucleotides in length. Their secondary structure includes four short double-helical elements and three loops (D, anti-codon, and T loops). Further hydrogen bonds mediate the characteristic L-shaped molecular structure. tRNAs have two regions of fundamental functional importance: the anti-codon, which is responsible for specific mRNA codon recognition, and the 3' end, to which the tRNAs corresponding amino acid is attached (by aminoacyl-tRNA synthetases). tRNAs cope with the degeneracy of the genetic code in two manners: having more than one tRNA (with a specific anti-codon) for a particular amino acid; and 'wobble' base-pairing, i.e. permitting non-standard base-pairing at the 3rd anti-codon position. The record is from RNAcentral. Lineage: Eukaryota; Metazoa; Chordata; Actinopteri; Cyprinodontiformes; Rivulidae.
UAAGAUGGCUGAAAUAGUGGCAGGUUGUAGCUCUGUUUAUAAAGGUUUAAGUCCUUUUCUUAC